This 214-nucleotide ribosomal RNA is filed under the name uncultured bacterium. RNAcentral's name for it is "partial 16S ribosomal RNA". It matches the Rfam family "Bacterial small subunit ribosomal RNA", at positions 1287 to 1500 of the family's 1533-position model. The record is from RNAcentral.
CUCAGUUCGGAUUGCAGGCUGAAACCCGCCUGCAUGAAGUUGGAAUUGCUAGUAAUCGUGGAUCAGCAUGCCACGGUGAAUACGUUCCCGGGCCUUGUACACACCGCCCGUCACACCACGAGAGUCGGGAACACCCGAAGUCCGUAGUCUAACCGUAAGGAGGGCGCGGCCGAAGGUGGGUCUGGUAAUUGGGGUGAAGUCGUAACAAGGUAGC